AUUGAACGCUGGCGGCAGGCCUAACACAUUCAAGUCGAACGGUAGCACAGAGAGCUUGCUCUCGGGUGACGAGUGGCGGACGGGUGAGUAACGUCUGGGAAACUGCCCGAUGGAGGGGGAUAACUACUGGAAACAGUAGCUAAUACCGCAUAACGUCGCAAGACCAAAGUGGGGGACCUUCGGGCCUCACACCAUCGGAUGUGCCCAGAUGGGAUUAGCUAGUAGGUGGGGUAAUGGCUCACCUAGGCGACGAUCCCUAGCUGGUCUGAGAGGCUGACCAGCCACACUGGAACUGAGACACGGUCCAGACUCCGACGGGAGGCAGCAGUGGGGAAUAUUGCACAAUGGGCGCAAGCCUGAUGCAGCCAUGCCGCGUGUAUGAAGAAGGCCUUCGGGUUGUAAAGUACUUUCAGCGGGGAGGAAGGCGGUGGAGUUAAUAACUUCACCGAUUGACGUUACCCGCAGAAGAAGCACCGGCUAACUUCGUGCCAGCCGCCGCGGUAA
This 504-nucleotide ribosomal RNA is filed under the name uncultured bacterium. Its description in RNAcentral is "partial 16S ribosomal RNA". It matches the Rfam family "Bacterial small subunit ribosomal RNA", at positions 30 to 523 of the family's 1533-position model. The record is from RNAcentral.